UUUUUUUUUUUAUCUUUUGGCUAAGAUCAAGUGUAGUGUUUGUUUUUAUUAGUUUAAUAUUUUAUAUAUAAUUAUGUAAGAUCCAUUUUUACAAUGAUAUUAAAUUUAUUUUUUAUAUGAGAGAGGAUCCAUCAAAAUAGCUCGCUAUUGGGUCCUCACGUGUCGCUUUGAGGUUGCACUACUAUCUAAACCGGGCACACCCCAA
Hordeum vulgare subsp. vulgare (domesticated barley) is the source of this 205-nucleotide non-coding RNA. Lineage: Eukaryota; Viridiplantae; Streptophyta; Magnoliopsida; Poales; Poaceae. The record is from Rfam.